UACGUAGGUGGCAAGCGUUUUCCGGAUUUAUUGGGUUUAAAGGGUGCGUAGGUGGUCUUUUAAGUCAGUGGUGAAAUACGGCAGCUCAACUGUCGAGGUGCCAUUGAUACUGGGAGACUUGAGUACUGAUGAGGUAGGCGGAAUGGACGGUGUAGCGGUGAAAUGCUUAGAGAUCGUCCAGAACACCGAUAGCGAAGGCAGCUUACUAAGGAGUAACUGACACUGAGGCACGAAAGUGUGGGGAUCAAACAGG
RNAcentral lists this ribosomal RNA (253 nucleotides) under uncultured bacterium. Its description in RNAcentral is "partial 16S ribosomal RNA". It matches the Rfam family "Bacterial small subunit ribosomal RNA", at positions 524 to 776 of the family's 1533-position model. The record is from RNAcentral.